CCACAACACAGCCUUGAUAAUGAAGGGGCUAUGACACAAAUCAUGCUUAAGCAAUGGCAUAUGUGAUGGUCUCUGACUCUUCGGGUCGCCAAAUGGAUUUCUCAACAUAAAGCAAUCCCUCCUUGUCUUUCGAGUAGGUCAUUCGGACCUCCCAAUGCAUAGACCUCACUAUGUUCUCCAGCUCACUAACAGUCUCAACAUUGUCACGGACAAUUAGCUUUCCUUCUGGCCGAAGUAUCCGAUCAACCUCCACAACUACAGCCACUAGAUUGCACCUCUUUUUAACCUUUGAGAAGAGAUGAUCUGCAUGAAGAAGAUCAUAAGAUCUAGGGUAGGUGCUAAAUGAUUCACACCAGUCAUGAUAAAUGCCAAAAAGACCACGUUCAUAAAUUAUAGGUAGAGUAUCUGGGGAGUCUAUUGGGACUACAUUCAUGACCCACACCUUUAUAUCCUUCAGAGCUGCAGCAAAACCUCCAUAGAUAGUUCUCAUGUCCAUGACGUUUCUCACAGAUGACCAUUUUAUUCCCAUUCCAUUUAGAUAUGACUUAGAUACCACCCGCUUCCAGUGCUCAUAGUCAGCAGUGAAAUCCUCUGGUUCUGGUUUACCAUAAACUCCAACUUUGGAACUCAACAUCCAAUAAGGUACUUUCUCCAACCUCGCUGGCCAUUGCUCUGGCCAUUGAGAUCCACGUUCUACUGAAUCUACUGGAACCUUGUGCAUACAUGCUUGCAGUGGCACGUUCCAGGCUGCAUUAGGAUCAUCAGAUGCUUCACACAGUGGAGGCUCUUGUUGUGAUCUUUUCUCAUAACAGUCAUUGGAAGUAGGCUUCCUGUAUAUAGCUAUACCCACACCAUUUACUGUAUCCUUGGUAAUGGACACAAGUUCCCAGCACAUAGCUUUGGUUAGUUCAGUCAUAGCUUUCCAAAUUUGAACAUCUUCAGCAACCUUCUUCUGAUAAACAGGAGUGGCAGACCACACAAAGAAACCACCAGGUCGCAACACACGAUUCAACUCCAAAAGAAGUUUACCACCUUCAAUAUGCCAUGGGACUCUGCAUCGAGCACAGUGGACAAUAUCAAAGACUCUGCCUGGAAAAGGAAGUCUCUGUGUUCCCAUCACAGCAGAUAUAGCAGGGAUUCCUCUUUCAAGAGCAAAUUGCACUUGAGCCUCAUGUUCAUCUUUAGGGGCAAACGACAUCGUGACAACAUCCCUAUCAAAUAGAAAGCCUCCAAAGCUAGCAACACCACAACCAACAUCCAAUAUCACACGGGAGCGUUUUCCCCAUGCAAUAUCAGGCACAGACUCAUUUAUGAAGUCAAUGUAAUGUAAAGCACCAUGCUUAAACUGAGUUCCACCAC
RNAcentral lists this unclassified non-coding RNA (1359 nucleotides) under Hevea brasiliensis (rubber tree). The record is from RNAcentral. Lineage: Eukaryota; Viridiplantae; Streptophyta; Magnoliopsida; Malpighiales; Euphorbiaceae.